GACGAACGCUGGCGGCGUGCCUAACACAUGCAAGUCGAACGGACAGGCGCUGAGCUUGUGCCGCGGUCGAGAGGGGAGGGCGGGUGUGAAACGUGUGUAACCCCCCCUUGAAUUUGGGGUAACAUCACGGAACUGGGGCUAAUACAGGAUAGGAGCUACUGAACCAUGGUGGGCGUUGGAUAAUUACGGCCGUUGGGGCUGGUGUCGCGGCUUAUCAGCUUGUUGGGGUGGUAGUUGCGUACCAGGCUUUAGACGGCUAGCCUGCCUGAGAGGCGGACCGGCCACAUGGGUACUGAGGGACGGCCCAGACGCCUACCUGAGGCAGCAGUCGGGAAUAUUGCACAGUGGGCGGAAGCCUGAUGCAGCAACGCCGCGUGCGGGAUGACGGGCUUCGGGUUGAAAACCACUGUCUCCUUUGACGUAGCGUGAGUGACGGUACUGAGUCAAGAAGCACCGGCUAACUACGUG
This 468-nucleotide ribosomal RNA is filed under the name uncultured bacterium. Its description in RNAcentral is "partial 16S ribosomal RNA". It matches the Rfam family "Bacterial small subunit ribosomal RNA", at positions 28 to 507 of the family's 1533-position model. The record is from RNAcentral.